UCUGACAGAAAUUACCAUGAAAGAAGCUGAGUGGUGAGUGUUCCAGGACUAAGACCUAUCAGAGGUGAGGAGAGCAGGGUUGCUUCCAAGGAGCAGAUGGACUACAAUGCGAUGUCCACAGAGGCCUCAUCUGAUCUGUGAGAAAGCCCUGGAGCGGGAAUGGUCCUGAUGCCAAACAAGUGGUCUCAGCAGGAACUUUUUCUUCUUCAAGUUUUUACAUAUGGAGAGAAAAAAAAAAAAGUAAAGCAGAUACAAGCACACUGACCAGUAAGCCUUGGGAUGUAGUAGGAAGGUCAGGAGAACCAUGCCCUACUUCUCUAGAAGAGCACAUCACACCAGCCAGGUUAAGUGGGAUUCAAGGGCCCUCCAGGAAGGACAGCCAAGAUUGUUGAUUCAACACUGAAUAAGGAAGCACCUGGAGAAAUAAGCCUCAAAAGAAACAUCUGACAAGCCACUCAAUCCUAUAAAUGAGUAUCUUUCUGAGCAUUGGCACUGAGAUUGGAAACAGAAAAUUGCAGAAAAAGCACUGGAUUAAAAAGCAAGUGAUGUCAUUCUUGGUCCUUACUAUGUGGUUGUCCAAUGUGACCUUGGAGAAUUUUUUUAUGAUCAUCUUUACAUUCCUUAAGACUUUAUUAUCUUAUAAGAACCUGAGAAAAUGGACAGCACUGUUGGGGGCUUGUGAGUUCCUGUCACAGUACUGAGCUUGAACAAUUUCGAUUAAAGCCCCAUGUUUGAGACUGUCAUUAGACCUGCAUUAAAUUACAUAUCUGGAGUGUUAAAAAAUAAAGAGUACAGUAGCUUUUUCUCAGCUACCUAAGGGACAAUAUGUUGCUGCUGAUGCGGGUGAUGAUGAUACAACCCAGCAGAAGAUGAACUUCUUCCCGAAGAUGGAGAGACUACUCCCAGUCUAUGAUAAGGGAACCUCUGUUUUUGGCUAAAACAUCUCUCCCCAACUUUUGUCAUCAGUGACAGAGCUAAGAGUUGAAGCUAGAUCUUCUGUCGCAGAAGAGAAGCUGGAACAGAGGAAUUACACAACUCCUUUGGAAAGAGGAAUGGAGGCCUCCAUGAGAAGAACUCUGGGGCACUUGGAACAAAUGCAAGGACCCUGGUCAUUUGAAGCCUUGAAGACUGAAAGUCCAAGAGAGUCAAUGUGGUUGCAUUCUGGUGAGACUCUUCUUCCUGGUUUGUAG
Long non-coding RNA from Mustela erminea (ermine), 1190 nucleotides. RefSeq lists it as uncharacterized. NCBI's taxonomy places the organism in Eukaryota, Metazoa, Chordata, Mammalia, Carnivora, Mustelidae. The transcript has 10 exons. The record is from RefSeq and is a predicted model, not a curated record.